Gossypium arboreum is the source of this 988-nucleotide long non-coding RNA. RefSeq lists it as uncharacterized. The transcript is spliced from 2 exons. Lineage: Eukaryota; Viridiplantae; Streptophyta; Magnoliopsida; Malvales; Malvaceae. The record is from RefSeq and is a predicted model, not a curated record.
UGUGCACAGAAGUAUUGUUAGAAUUUGCAUGCUUGUGCCACCUAAAAAAGGACAGGAAAAUUGAAAGCAGGACCACCUGUAGGGCGAAACGUAAAGUGGUACAGAAGCAAAAUCAAAAUGUCGUCCUAGGAAAUGAAUGGGUCGAAACUACUACAGGCUUGGAUUCCAAUUGCAUGGUCCCAACCCCCAGUCGUGUAAUCUGAUCCUCCAAUGGACGUGGUAGCUGGUGAAACUUACCCAUUUCUGUUAGGGUCCAAACACUCAUCAUACAUGUCAACAGGUCCGCUCUUACCUCUAUGCGUGAGAUCCAAUGAGAAGCUUAAAGACACUGAAACGGAGCAGUGGGGGUAAUUUACCAUGCUUCCUAGAAUGGAUAGAUUCCACUUCCAUGGGACUUGUUGUAAGCCUAGUUUGCUUGAACAAUCUUGAUUUUGUUCGUGGCAGUUCCAAUGAAUAAAGGCAUUAAGAAAUAGUGAAAUUGCAUGCAUGCUGGGAAACAAGAAAUAAUAAUUAUUUUCAGAUAAGUCAAAUAGGGUAUAGAUAUGGCAUCUGCUACCGUUCCUUUUAAUGUAUACUUGUAAUGGAAAUAAACAAUGCAUGAGCCAUCAGCUAUGGCUGCAAAAUUAACUUCUUUUUUUUUGUCACUAUUUUCUUGACUUGGAAACAUAACGUAAAAGAAGCAAGACUGGUACCGGUACAAUGAAAAUUCGGAAGUUGGUCUCUUUCCAUUUCCCAAUUCUGUUUUUUUCUUCUUUUUUUUUUUUCCUUUUUUUAGCAAGUCCAAGAAGAUGAUCUCUUUAUCAAUGGCUUCAUCUGUUUGUCCUCCUCCAAAGAAAUCAUCCCCAAGUGCGACGGAUCCUCCAUCAUCAUUUUUGCCACUAAAUAUCCUGCUAUUGACCAUGUCUGAUACUUCCUAGCCUGUUUACCGACAUAUCUCCCGAGUUUGCCGUCAUAAUAUUCUGGCCACCCAUCUUUCAACAAGCGUGUC